UGUUGGAUUAAUGUCUACGUCCAUAACUAUAUUUGGUAUAUACUUGACCCGACCCGGCAUGGUCCAUUUGGGUUGCACUUCACCGACACAAUUUAUAUGGAUAAUCUUUUGAGAAUAGUAUGUUUACGAUUAAUAUUAAUAUAUUAUAAGUUCUAAUAUAUUAAUAUGGAAUCAUAUUAUUUAAUUAGUAUUGAUCAAGAAUUAAUUUAUAAUUAAUUAAGUGAUCAAAAAGGAACUAAUUAAAUAUGGACUCUUAUAUAUAUGGAAUGGGCCAAGUUCAUUUAGGUUGGGCUAAGCUUUCAUGGAUAGUCCAUGGAGUGUUUAACCCAUGGAUCCUAGGAAAUGAAAGGUCAUGGGUAUUAGGGUUUAACCCUAAUCCUCCAUACUAUAUAAAGAUGUCUUUGGUUGGUGAAAUUGGCACUAGUGUGGAUACACUAAAGAAGGGCUAGCCAAUUUCACUAGAGAGAACCAAGUAAUCAUAUUCUCUAAAGUAUUCCAAGGUGUCUUGGUGAUUUGUGAUUCCACUUGAGGCUUCCACACUAUUGGGGCUAAGCUCUUAAAGCUUGAAGACAUCAAGCUACAUCAAGAGGUAUGUAUUCUAUCUUGUUACAUUCAUAGUUUUUGUAUGCUAGAUUAGGAUAAUACCUUGGAUGUUCUUAUUUGCAUGUAUAAUAGAGAAAACAUAGAUCCAAGGUAUUUAGGGUUGCAUGUACACUUAGGAAGUGUUAGAAUGCUCAAAACCCAACAGUGGUAUCAGAGCCACGGGUUGUUUUCUGUUAUAUUGAUGCAAAUAUUUUAUUUUCAAAGUUGAAAAAAAAAAAAAAAAAAAAACAUGAAGUUCGUCAAAUUUUAAGAUAAUUACUUGUUCUUGUGAAAAACUAAUUAUUUGUAAAAUUUGAAUAAUUUGCUUUAUGAGUUGAAUUAGGUCAAAUUUAAUAAAAGAUAAAAUAAUAUGAUUAUUUUAUUAGUUUUAAAAGUUUGAUCUAAAGAGUUUUAUUUUUUGAAACCUCCAUAAGUUAUGGAUAUGAAAAGGUUUUAAAAAAAAAAUUGAUUCAAAGUUUUUUUGGAGUUACAAAAUUUGGUGUUAAUGUUUUAAAGGAUUCCAUAACUUAAGAAUAAGUUAUGGAUCACCAAAAGUUUUUUGUGUUACCUUGUUUUAUGAGUGAAUUUAGAUUAAUGAAUAAAAUUAUGUGAUAGUUGGUUUUAAUCCAAAUUAAUCUAAGAAUUGAUUCUAAAAUGUGUUUUUGUAACUUGUCCUCAAGUUAUAUGAAAAGUCACAUUUAAGAAUCAUAAAACUCAUAAAAAUUGGCAAAGGUUACAAAAAUGAAGAGUCUAGUUCUAAUUAAAUGGUUUUAUGACUCCAUAACUUGUCCUCAAGUUAUGGAGGACCAAGAGUCUCUUCAUUUAAUAAAAUAAAAUAAAAUAAAAAAAGGUGUAACCUUAAUUAAUUCCAUAAGUUAUAAAAUAAAGAAAAGUUAAUUCUUUUAUUAGUUUAAAGUCUUCCAUAACUUGUCCUCAAGUUAUGGAACUUGAAGAGUUUUUGGAUUAAAACUACUUUAAACACAUAAGUUAUGGAAUUAAUUAGUUUUGAAUAGUUUCAAAACUUGCCCUCAAGUUUUGGAAUUUGUAAAGUUUUCACUUAUGAAUACUUUAAUUCCAAGUUAGCCCUUAGAAUUUUAAAAGUUAAAAUUCAACCCUUAUACUUUAUAAUAUUAUAAGUUAAUAAUAUAUAUAUGUAUAAGAGUAAAGUCAGUCUUACCGCUAGUACGCCUCAUUCACGAAGCCGGUCUAUAAGGUGGGUAUAAGGUUGUUGCCUAUAAAAUGGCAACUUAAUGGGUGUCCACUCUCACCCACCGCUUGCUUGACUGGUGGAGGGUCGUUAGCCGAACGGGUUUGACAGGACUAGAAUUCUCCCUUCAUUAAAAGUAUUAAUGAUAAUACUAAGUAACUAAACUCUUAAUAAUACCCAAUCUUAGUUACUUAGGAAAAAUGUGAAUAAGGUGCUAAUCCAUGAAAUUACACUUUACACUUUGUCUAAGUCGUUAGUGGAGCGUGUGUGGUUAACCGGCACACUAACUUGGACUUAACAAGGUAGGUAAAGGGUGACUUAAUAUUUAUCAUAGUAUCGAUGGAGCGUGUGUGGUUAACCGGCACAUCGAUUGAGGGGUAAUUUAUUAAGGGUACCAAGUGAUUUGCAUGGUUACUUCACACCUUGUUUUGUGAUCCUCGGCAUCCCAGUCACAAAACCUGAAGGGCACACUCGAGAUUGAAACAUGCCUUUGAAAAGUUCAAUGAAUCUCAAAGAUCUAGGAGUUUCAAAACCAAUUAAAACCUAAUAAUACAUUUCGUUUAUCUUGGUGGAAAUUGGUGAAUCGUCAUUCACCUACCUUCAAAUAUUUUAUAGCUUGGAUUACGGCAUACCUCUUCUAAGUUAUAAAAUAGUUUGUUGGGUCCUAGCCUUAAUAUUUCAUAUUGGGUGUCAUAUUAAGGACUUUAAAUCAACUAUCUUGAAUAUCUCCCAAAAGAUGUCUGGUUUAGACACCUAUGAUCUUCCCAAAUCUCUUGAAACAAGGUUUCCUAAUGAAGAUGAUGUCCCAUGGAUAUCAUACUUCUUCACCUCUUCAAAUUAUUCUCCCUAACCCACAAGUUCUUGAAAAGUUUAAGGUCACUCAGGCCCUAUUGGCAAGGCAAGGUCUAGGUGUGGUCACAUCUUGGAGAUGUAGUCACAUAUUGACAAGCCGGGAGAGUUGGGUGUCAAAGUCUUGAGAAAGUUGGUGGUUCAACCACUUUCUAAGUCACAUAGUGAGUUCCUUUGGGACACCUAUGAAACAGACUAUGACAAGACCCUUAAUGAUCUUAUCUAUUUGCUAAGAUCAACUUCCUAAAACUUUAUGGACAUUGACAAUGAUGACAUUGGAUAUCCAGUAAAGCAUUCUCUUCCCAAUGGAAAGGGAUCGGCUAUAGUCAACUCGGUUGACCAAAUGGUAAAGAGAAAAGCUAAGUCUGUGAUAGUCCUGUGUACCAUUAUCAAAGGGUCCAUAUGUUUGUAUUGCCAAAGAAAGGGCAUUGGUUGCGAAGCUGCCAAAUUUACCUAAGGAUGUUAAAGUCAAUAAGUUUGACUCUACUUCAGGUAAAAUCCACUAUCUAACUCUGUUAAGUUUCUAUUCUGAGAUUCUUGAUACAUGAUGUGACCGGGUCGCAUGGUGAUGGUUUAAGAAUCAAAGGAAAGUGAAGAAACUUAAAGGAAGAAUAUGCUGAAUCUGAUCGCAUAGAUGGAUUUCUAUCGCAUAGUUUGAAAAAUCGGAUUCUUGAGCUACUUCUUAGGAGUUAUGAGAUAUUGCUUAGGAAUAGAUAACAACAAGUUUUCAUAUGGAUUGUAAGGAUAGUUUUUCCGCAAAGUUUUAAAAUAAAAGGAAAUUUUUGAUUUUAUUUAUUUUAAAAUAUCCUUACAAUGGCAUCUGUGGAAAUUUUUGUUGCUUAUAAGAUUCCAUUAGUAGCAAGAGUGGAAGUAUGAAAUUGAUUCUUUCAUUUGUGGUAAUGUCUAAAUUUACCAAAUAAGGAAAGAUUCUCAUCACCCAAGUUUCAAUUGGACCGGAACUUGGAAUCAUGCAAGUUGUAUAGCAUGAUGAAUGAGAACUUUCAAGUUUUGGAAAAUUAAGACUAAUUACUUGUUCACAUGGAUGUGUGAGUCAAGUAAAGGACUUAGGGAUCGAGUACACAUUCUUGUGCACUGAUUAAGUCCACCACUAAAGAUCGAUAAGAAGAAUCAAAUAAGGCAGAAGGAUAAAAGUUUCUCAAAUCUGAAAAGAUGGGAGAGUACUUUAGUAUCAGUUUUGUGAUCAUCUUAAUGAUUAAGAAACCAUAUCAAAAUUAGUUCUCUAAGGAAAUCUUAGUGCAUUCUUAUGACUAAGAAGAGGAACUUGAAUUGUUGAAAUGGUUAAAUCAAGAAGAUGAGUCAUACUUCGUUCCAAUACAAGUCUUAGAGUCAUACUCCAAGAUUGUCAUUUGAGUGACAUGUCUUAAAGAAGGUUUAAAACACUUGUCAAAUGUAAGAGUAAAAGUUUUCUACUCUUGUACAUUUGAAAUUGGUAAGUUGUGAUGUUUUGGAUAAAACAAAGACCAACUUAGGCCAAUUGGGUAAAGUGUUUUUCUUGAUUAGAAUCCGCACUAUCUCUUGGAUGUUUGACAAGGGAGUCUUAUAUGUCAAGAGGACAGUGGGAGUCUUAAAGGUCUUGAAAGUCUCAAGAAAUAAUCAAGAAUAAAACCUAAAGUUCUUCACUAGCACACGACUUGAGGUUCAUAACCUAUCGUGUUGACAUAUUCUGUGCCCAUUCCAGUUAAAGUUGGUUUUGCAUAUGAGUUCUUAGAGUUCUCAAUUUGUUGCACAACAACUUGGAAGCAAUGGCAGGCCCUUGAGCUGCCAGGUGGCAAGAAGUUAAGAUUGAGUUCAAUCCAUAUGGUUUUGGAUUUGUCAUUAUCUUUGUCUUGUGAUUAUGGUUUGACAAAUUCAUAUGGGUAGGAACUCAUACACCAUAUAAAUCUAAGUGUCAUAAGGUUUCUCUCCGAUUCAUGAAAAUGAUGGUGAGGAAACGCUUUCACUAAGUAGAUUUUACGAAGAUAUCAAUUGUGUUAUUUGCAUUUUCAAAAGUCGUUAGUGGAGCGCGUGUGGUUAACCGGCACACUAACAUGGACUUGUGAGAAAUGGCAAAUGCCUAAGCAAUUGAGACCAUGAUUACGGUAUCCCUUUUCAUGGUUCUUGAAAUUGCUUAGACACACAGGUGAGCUAUCUACGGAAAGGGUGUAUGAAUCUAAAUUUCAGACUGUCCAGCUGAUUUCUGAGUACAUGUCAAAGCUAGUGGGAGCAUAAGUGUUAUGCUAAUAAUCAUCAUGUUAGUGGGAGCAUGAUAAUUAUGAUAAGUAUUGCAAGUUAGCAAUGUUAAUUAUAGAAAACAAAAGUUUCAAUUGGGAAAAAGUUGUUUUGCUAUAAUUAAGGGAGAGGAAAUUAUGCUUCAUCUCAAAUCUAUAAGCUUAGAUCGUGAGGUUUUAAUCAUUUAGUCAAGGAUAUAUAUGAAUUUCAUGUUGGAAUGGCUCAACAUAAGGAAAUUCUGUAUAUGGGUCCAUUAUUUGCGUUCUAAAAUUCGAUUAUGAUUACGGCAUCCCUUUUCAUAAUCUGAAUUAUGAGAACUUGGCAAAUUGAAAUGGAAAUAUUAUAGCAAAAGACUGGUUUAGUCUUUAUGUAAGACAUCAUGAAUCGUGUCCCAUAUGCUUCGGAUAUAGGAUCGAUUACAUGUGCUAUAUUCAUCCGUUCUAAAAUUUUCCAAAUGCCUGGGGCAUUAAGAAGGGAAAAGGUUUAGAACUGGAUAUGACUAAAAGGAUUAAACAAUUGUCGAGGACAAUCUAAGGUUUACCAAAGAUUGGUUACUCAAGGACAAUUGGAAGUAUAGUGAUAAUUCUGGAAGGACCAUAUUGACAUAAUCUGUAAGGAGGCAACUCUUGUUCAGAAGUGAUAGUCAAAAUGGAAUCUGGAAAUGUUUCAAAGUUAGAAUUUUCAAUCUGUGUAAGAUUAAGGAAACUUAAUGCAAGAAGGAUAUUUCCAAGGAGUUGAUCUCCUUUGGAAUACUCUGUAAUGAUUGUUGCCAAGUCUUUGUGACUUUGUGCAUAAUCAUUACAAGAGGAUCAAUGCAUAUAAGUUUAGAAUCUAACAGAUUUCAGUAAAUGGCAUGAAUUUGGAAUUCUUGCAUUUGCAGUAAGGAUUUGGGAGUGUGAAAAGAGAAUCAUUGAAGUUAUGUUCAAUUGAUCUAGUUCACAAAGUAAAGAUCAUAGACAAACAUAGUAUGCAUACUUGGUGUGUGGCAUGACUAGUGUUUAAGAAAACAUAGUGUACAUGCUUGGAGCAUGGGACAACUAUUGUUUUAAAUUCAAGAAUAAAGUUGAUAGCUGAAACAGUAUACAAUGAAUAAUGUGUAAUCAUAUGGUGAUAAAUAAAAGGUGUUUUAUUUAUGUUCAAAGGGUUGAUACCAUAUUGGAUUCAAUUAUUAUUGUGUUUCACUUUGCAUGUUUUGACUUCCCGAAUAAACUAGGUUAUUCUUCCGGAAUGACUAAGUUAUUCAAACCAUCCACAGUCGGUCAUAUGUUGGAAGUAGAUAUGAAUUAAGACUGUCAUGGGUUGGCUUGUAGAGGUCUAAGGUGUUGGACAAAGGGCUACAACACUCAUGAGUGCUCAUAAGUUCUGAGUAUUGGAUUCAACCCGCGCUCAUUGGAAUCACUUCAUGGAUUUUAUCACGAGUGAUCAUGAGACGAUAAUAUCUUAUAUUCUUCAAACCUAGAGAUAUGAGUUGUUACUAUGAGUUGGUUGUACAUUGAUUGCACGAAAACGCAUUUGGUAACUCGGUGCUAUAAAACGUGCCUUUGUGUAUGAUUCAACAAGUAGUAGAACAAGCCAUAUGAGUCGAAGUUUAUCCAUUCCUUUUACCUUCGGGAUAAAAGCGAUAUCUGUGGGCCCCUCGAUGAUUUGAUGAUGACAAAUGGAAGUGCUCGGCCGGGCCAGGACUGAUUUGAUUUGUUCAAUUAGUCAGUCGUCAUAAAUCGGAAAUCGGGAAACAACAAAUGGACAGAGAGAAUGAUUAUAAUCCAUGUCUCAGUCCAUAUGAUAUCUAGAAUGGAGGAAUAUAUGAUCCCUUAUCUAAUGGACAAGUUCGUUGACAAGAUCAGAGUUCGACAGCAGCUUUAAGAGCUACGAUUGCCAGUUAGGUUUGAAGUCAUACGCAAUAAUAGUUUUAGACUUAUCCAAGUGGGAGACUGUUGGAUUAAUGUCUAAGUCCAUAACUAUAUUUGGUAUGUACUUGACCCGACCCGGCAUGGUCCAUUUGGGUUGCACUUCACCGACACAAUUUAUAUGGAUAAUCUUUUGAGAAUAGUAUGUUUAUGAUUAAUAUUAAUAUAUUAUAAGUUCUAAUAUAUUAAUAUGGAAUCAUAUUAUUUAAUUAGUAUUGAUCAAGAAUUAAUUUAUAAUUAAUUAAGUGAUCAAAAGGAACUAAUUAAAUAUGGACUCUUAUAUAUAUGGAAUGGGCCAAGUUCAUUUAGGUUGGGCUAAGCUUUCAUGGAUAGUCCAUGGAGUGUUUAACCCAUGGAUCCUAGGAAAUGAAAGGUCAUGGGUAUUAGGGUUUAACCCUAAUCCUCCAUACUAUAUAAAGAUGUCUUUGGUUGGUGAAAUGGGCACUAGUGUGGAUACACUAAAGAAGGGCUAGCCAAUUUCACUAGAGAGAACCAAGUAAUCAUAUUCUCUAAAGUAUUCCAAGGUGUCUUGGUGAUUUGUGAUUCCACUUGAGGCUUCCACACUAUUGGGGCUAAGCUCUUAAAGCUUGAAGACAUCAAGCUAGAUCAAUAGGUAUGUAUUCUAUCUUGUUACAUUCAUAGUUUUUGUAUGCUAGAUUAGGAUAAUACCUUGGAUGUUCUUAUUUGCAUGUAUAAUAGAGAAAACAUAGAUCCAAGGUAUUUAGGGUUGCAUGUACACUUAGGAAGUGUUAGAAUUCACAUAACCCAACAAUAUCAACCUCAUAUUGAGAGCUAGGGCCAAUUAUAGGUUCAUUUUUGGUUAUAUUUCAAACAUCUUCAAGGUCAAUAUGUUUUAUCCACUCAAAGAAAAAUCCUUAUGAGCUUUAAGCACCACACUUUCAUGGGUCUUAAAACAAAUAAAAAAAGGUCUUUAGUGAGUACACGAUAAUGUAACACUACUUAGAUCUUGAUUUAAGUUGGUCACUGUUUCCUCUUCUAACGAAACACCUCAUAUCAUCAUACCUAAAAGUGAGGGAACAUUUCAACUCCACAUCCCAAGAGGCCUAUUCACAAGUUACUUAUUCGGUUACAAGGUUCAAGAAUGCUUUACUAUUUAAAUUGUAUAUUUCCAAAAGUUUAAUUGGUAGAGACGUACGGCUGAUCAUAGAUCGAACCAUAUAACAUUAAAUUAUCCUUUUUUCAAGAUCAUUAUAUUAUGAUGUCCUUAGAGAAUCCAAUUAUGGAAACCAUUCCACAAUCCUAUGAUGAUCAUUAAAAUUGUUGCUAAGAAAUUUUCCUUUCCUUUGAGGAUGGAAAUCCUUUUUCCUCUUGCCCUAUUGAUCCCCUACUUUAUUCUGUUACUCUCUAAAACUUUUGAAAGUAUCAUAAUUAUGCUUAAACAUAUAGACGUACCCACAUCUACUGAAACUAUGAAUAAGUAUGACACAGUAAUGUUUGACAUCCCUUGUGGUGGAUCUAAAGGGUCCACACACAUUAGUCUAUACAAGUUCCAUCAAUCAUUCACCUCAUUCACAUAUCCAUGUGAAUGGUGAUUUAGUCAUCUUGCAACAAAUAAGAUUUGCAUAUAUAUCAUCCAACCAAAAGUUGAAUGAUUCGAUGUCUAGUCCAUUGU
RNAcentral lists this long non-coding RNA (8407 nucleotides) under Lactuca sativa (garden lettuce). RNAcentral's name for it is "long non-coding RNA (LSAT_LNC006669)". The record is from RNAcentral. Lineage: Eukaryota; Viridiplantae; Streptophyta; Magnoliopsida; Asterales; Asteraceae.